RNAcentral lists this ribosomal RNA (801 nucleotides) under uncultured bacterium. Its description in RNAcentral is "bacterial SSU rRNA". It matches the Rfam family "Bacterial small subunit ribosomal RNA", at positions 65 to 875 of the family's 1533-position model. The record is from RNAcentral.
AGGGAGAAGCUAUUUUCGGAUGGUGGAAACCGGCGCACGGGUGAGUAACGCGUACACUACCUACCUUAUACUGGGGAAUAGCCUUUGGAAACGGAGAGUAAUACCCCAUAGUCCCCGACCUAGUCGGGGUAAAGCUCCGGCGGUAUGAGAUGGGUGUGCGUCCCAUUAGCUAGUUGGUAGGGUAACGGCCUACCAAGGCGACGAUGGGUAGGGGGCGUGAGAGCGUGAUCCCCCACACGGGUACUGAGACACGGACCCGACUCCUACGGGAGGCAGCAGUAAGGAAUAUUGGACAAUGGGCGAAAGCCUGAUCCAGCCAUCCCGCGUGCAGGAUGACAGCCCUAUGGGUCGUAAACUGCUUUUGCCAGGGAAGAAACCCCCGGAUUUACUCCGGGGCUGACGGUACCUGGCGAAUAAGCACCGGCUAACUCCGUGCCAGCAGCCGCGGUAAUACGGAGGGUGCAAGCGUUAUCCGGAAUCACUGGGUUUAAAGGGUGCGUAGGCGGCGUUAUAAGUCAGAGGUGAAAGCUUGCAGCUUAACUGUAAAAUUGCCUCUGAUACUGUAGUGCUUGAAUCAGGUUGAGGUCAGCGGAAUGUGGCAUGUAGCGGUGAAAUGCAUAGAUAUGCCAUAGAACACCAAUUGCGAAGGCAGCUGGCUGGGCCUGUAUUGACGCUGAGGCACGAAAGCGUGGGUAGCGAACAGGAUUAGAUACCCUGGUAGUCCACGCCCUAAACGAUGCUAACUCGAUAUGUGUCCCUUGCGGAUGCGUGUCUAAGGGAAACCAAUAAGUUAGCCACCUG